Molecule: non-coding RNA, 95 nt
Organism: Mycena latifolia
Lineage: Eukaryota; Fungi; Basidiomycota; Agaricomycetes; Agaricales; Mycenaceae
Source: the annotation of a GenBank genome assembly
GACCUGAUGGCACAACGGUUAGUGCAUCUGCAUUCAGUUAUUCCUCUUUGUAAGGGUUUAUGUAGGAGGUCCCCGUUCGACUCGGGGUCAGGUCA